AGAGUUAAAAAGUGCGUGAAACCGCUGGAAGGGAAGCGAAUGGGGUCGGCAAUUCACCUGAUCAGAUUCAGUCACGCGCUUUCCACAACGCGCUCGCACUUCGCGAUCUUUCCAGACGCAUCGCGUGCGACGUGGGAAGGGCGUGGUGCACUUCUGUCACGUGAGCGUCAACGUCAGUUCACUGCGAGUCAAACGGCCCCGAGGACGGUAGGUCCCCCUUCUGUGGGAUCGGUAAGCCUCUCGUGCACACGACUCCCCGUGGACUGUGUCCUGUCGCGGCGCGGGCCUCCCUUCCGAGGGCAGGCUGCAGUCUCGUCGCUCUGCCGUUCACGGUGCUAAACGGACGGCGAUGCCUGUGCGUCACAAGCACAGACGGUCGAGUGGCGAGCGACACCCGCACGACGCCCCGAGUACGUUGACCGCCAAGCGACUCCAUCCGACCCGUCUUGAAACACGGACCAAGGAGUCUAACAUGUGCGCGAGUCUCAGGGUGACAGAAACCCGUGGGCGUAAUGAAAGUAAAUGCGCUUUUUGCGCAGAGGUGUGAAGUUCGCUGCAGCUGCUGCAUCACCGACCGACCUGUUCUACUCUUAGGAAGGUUUGAGUUAGAGCGCACCUGUUGGGACCCGAAAGAUGGUGAACUAUGCCUGAGUAGGGCGAAGCCAGCGGAAACACUGGUGGAAGCUCGUAGCGGUUCUGACGUGCAAAUCGAUCGUCGAAUUUGGGUAUAGCGGCGAAAGACUAAUCGAACCAUCUAGUAGCUGGUUCCCCUCCGAAGUUUCUCACAGGAUAGCUGGAACUCGGACACGCAGU
Molecule: ribosomal RNA, 813 nt
Filed under: Jasonisis sp. CE-16-273
Lineage: Eukaryota; Metazoa; Cnidaria; Anthozoa; Scleralcyonacea; Keratoisididae
Description: partial 28S ribosomal RNA
Rfam family: Eukaryotic large subunit ribosomal RNA
Source: RNAcentral